This 460-nucleotide ribosomal RNA is filed under the name uncultured bacterium. Its description in RNAcentral is "partial 16S ribosomal RNA". It matches the Rfam family "Bacterial small subunit ribosomal RNA", at positions 338 to 795 of the family's 1533-position model. The record is from RNAcentral.
CCUACGGGAGGCAGCAGUGAGGAAUAUUGGUCAAUGGGCGGGAGCCUGAACCAGCCAAGUCGCGUGAGGGAAGACGGUCCUAUGGAUUGUAAACCUCUUUAGGCGGGGAGCAAUGCCGGGCACGCGUGCCCGGAGGGCGAGUACCCGCAGAAUAAGCAUCGGCUAACUCCGUGCCUGCAGCCGCGGUAAUAGGGAGGAUGAGAGCGUUAUCCGGAUUUAUUGGGUUUACAGGGUGCGUGGGCGGAUUUUUACGUCAGCGGGAAAAUGUCCGGGCUAAACCCGGGCCGGCCGUUGAAACUGGGGAGCUUGAGUGCAGAAGAGGAGAGUGGAACUCCAUGUGUAGCGGUGAAAUGCGUAGAUAUAUGGAAGAACACCAGUGGCGAAAGCGGCUCUCUGGUCUGUAACUGACGCUGAGGUUCGAAAGCGUGGGUAGCAAACAGGAUUAGAUACCCCAGUAGUC